UACGUAGGGUGCAAGCGUUGUCCGGAAUUAUUGGGCGUAAAGAGCUCGUAGGCGGUCUGUCGCGUCGGCUGUGAAAACCCGGAGCUCAACUCCGGGCCUGCAGUCGAUACGGGCAGACUGGAGUUCGGCAGGGGGACGACUGGAAUUCCUGGUGUAGCGGUGAAAUGCGCAGAUAUCAGGAGGAACACCGGUGGCGAAGGCGGGGUCUCUGGGGCCGAUACUGACGCUGAGGAGCGAAAGCGUGGGGGAGCGAACA
RNAcentral lists this ribosomal RNA (256 nucleotides) under uncultured bacterium. RNAcentral's name for it is "partial 16S ribosomal RNA". It matches the Rfam family "Bacterial small subunit ribosomal RNA", at positions 524 to 774 of the family's 1533-position model. The record is from RNAcentral.